RNAcentral lists this ribosomal RNA (470 nucleotides) under uncultured bacterium. Its description in RNAcentral is "bacterial SSU rRNA". It matches the Rfam family "Bacterial small subunit ribosomal RNA", at positions 59 to 524 of the family's 1533-position model. The record is from RNAcentral.
AAGUCGAGCGGUAGAGAGAAGCUUGCUUCUCUUGAGAGCGGCGGACGGGUGAGUAAUGCCUAGGAAUCUGCCUGGUAGUGGGGGAUAACGUUCGGAAACGGACGCUAAUACCGCAUACGUCCUACGGGAGAAAGCAGGGGACCUUCGGGCCUUGCGCUAUCAGAUGAGCCUAGGUCGGAUUAGCUAGUUGGUGAGGUAAUGGCUCACCAAGGCUACGAUCCGUAACUGGUCUGAGAGGAUGAUCAGUCACACUGGAACUGAGACACGGUCCAGACUCCUACGGGAGGCAGCAGUGGGGAAUAUUGGACAAUGGGCGAAAGCCUGAUCCAGCCAUGCCGCGUGUGUGAAGAAGGUCUUCGGAUUGUAAAGCACUUUAAGUUGGGAGGAAGGGCAGUUACCUAAUACGUGAUUGUUUUGACGUUACCGACAGAAUAAGCACCGGCUAACUCUGUGCCAGCAGCCGCGGUAAU